Molecule: transfer RNA, 77 nt
Filed under: Bacillota bacterium
Lineage: Bacteria; Bacillati; Bacillota
Description: tRNA-Ile
Rfam family: tRNA
About the family: Transfer RNA (tRNA) molecules are approximately 80 nucleotides in length.
Source: RNAcentral
GGUCCAUUAGCUCAGCCGGUUAGAGCACACCCCUUAUAAGGGUGGGGUCCAGUGUUCAAGUCACUGAUGGACCACCA